UUCCCCUAACUGUAACAAUCGGACGCAAUAUCUACUUCAAUUUUUGUUGAGGCGUCGUGAGAAUAGCACGGUUCGAGUCUCAGCCCUCAAUUUAGGGUUUACAGGCGCGAGGAACAGCAGAAGCAGAGCGAUGGCCAAGAAGAGAAAGGCAGGAGAGGAAAAGUUAACUCCUCAGCCCCAACCUCCAUCGGAGAAAAUUAUUAAGAAAGAAGAAGAAGAGGAGGAAAAGAUUGACAAUGGAGAAGAAGAUCAAAUUUCAGAAGAAGAUUUUAAAGCCCUAAUGGAGCCUUUCAGCAAAGAGCAGCUCUGUCAUAUUAUCCGCGACCUUGCAGCCAACGACGCCAAUGUUUUAUCCGAUAUACGAAAACUCGCCGACAAAGAUCCCGCUCACAGAAAAAUCUUCGUCCGCGGUAUCGGCUGGGACACCACCUCCGAAAUCUUAAAAUCUGUAUUUUCUGAAUACGGCGAGCUCGAAGAAUGCACAGUGAUAAUGGAUAAGGGGACUGGAAAAUCCAAGGGCUAUGGCUUCGUAACCUACAAACACAUGGAUGCUGCGCAGAGGGCUAUGAAAGAACCCAGCAAGAAGAUCGAUAACCGGAUGGCAGCCUGCCAAAUGGCUUGUCUUGGUCCCGUGCCGCAGCAACCUACUAGCGAUCCUGCGGGACGCAAGAUUUAUGUAAGUAAUGUACCCGCUGAUAUGCCUGCGGAUAAAUUGCUCAGCUUUUUUUCGAAAUAUGGUGAAGUAGAAGAAGGCCCGCUAGGGUUUGAUAAACAGACUGGGAAGUCCAGAGGGUUUGCGCUUUUUAUUUAUAAGACCGCAGAAGGAGCUAAGAAGGUUCUGGAGGAGCCUAACAAGAACAUUGAUGGUCAUUCUAUGCAUUGUAAAAGAGCCACUGAGAAUCAAAAGCCGAAGAUUAAUGUUACACAUACAGUACCUUCCGUGGCAGGUCCUCUGGACCCUAACGAUCUGGCACUUACUUAUGGUAAGGGUUCGAGUCUCGGAGCAGCCUACGGAGUAUUUCCUUUUAAUCAGGUUGCAGCGCCGGGGUUUAGUAAUGCCUUUAAUGCUAUUUUGGCUAGCCAAAACCAGACCUUUGCCGGCACGAGCAUGGACCCGUCGCGUCUGGCCUCCAUGAAUCCUUCUUUGGCAUCUUCCUUAAACUCUUCGUCGCUUUCACAAGCCUUUUCGCCUUCAGGGCAAGGUUCUUUGGGCCUGGUUGGGUCCUAUGGAAUGCAUUCAAGUCUCGGGCCCUAUGGCUCUCAGCAGGGAGGAAUUGGGGGUGUUACCCCACAGAUGUUUGGAGGUUAUGGUUCGCAAGGGGCUGCUCUGCAAGGACUAAGUCCGUACCAAAGUCAGCAGUUGAGCCAGUCCGGAUUGUCCAGAACAUCGCAGCAGACUGGAGGCAGUUCCUUAGGAGGGAUGUCAUCAUAUCUACCAUACUAGACAGGAAGUUCAUUUUACUUUCUGAUUGUAAAGCAUUUUAUGCCAAAAUUUUGGGCCUUUGUUGAGUUCCUUCAGCAUCUAUUUGACCUUGAGACAUGCAGCUGGCUCUCUAAAGCAUGGUGAUGAUUCAUUGUUGAAGAUAUAUUUUGUAUGGGCUCAUUUGCUUGGAAUUUAUUAAACUUGAAGAGCUUCAUUGAGAUUUGGCAGCUUUUAUCUUUUCUAUUAGGUUUUAUUCUCGAACUGUAUGGUUUCAACUAGCUUAUGGCAAGUGCCAUUGAAAUUUGAAGCCGUUGAUUUUUCUUAAAAUGUAUUGGCCAAGCAAUUUUUUUCGUUAUUUCUGUUAUCUGACGUUAUGCUUUGCUGAUAUUUGUGCUGUUGAUCUUUUCCUCAUGCUUUUGCCAUGUAAACAUGUCUUAUGCAUAAACCAGAACUUGGCAAAAAUUUGAUAUGGAAAUUGUUUAAUGUUUUAUUCUACCACUUGGUGAAAAAAUUCAGAAGAUGGUUUUCUUAUGAUCCA
Cryptomeria japonica (Japanese cedar) is the source of this 1961-nucleotide RNA transcript. It is a transcript of the gene named UBP1-associated protein 2B, with no coding region annotated. NCBI's taxonomy places the organism in Eukaryota, Viridiplantae, Streptophyta, Pinopsida, Cupressales, Cupressaceae. The transcript has 3 exons. The record is from RefSeq and is a predicted model, not a curated record.